CUACGGGAGGCUGCAGGCGAGAAAACUUUGCAAUGUGCGAAAGCACGACAAGGUUAAUCCGAGUGGUUUCUGCUAAAGGAACCUUUUGUCGGUCCUAGAAACACCGAUGAAUAAGGGGUGGGCAAGUUCUGGUGUCAGCCGCCGCGGUAAAACCAGCACCUCAAGUGGUCAGGAUGAUUAUUGGGCCUAAAGCAUCCGUAGCCGGCUCUGUAAGUUUUCGAUUAAAUCUGUACGCUUAACGUACAGGCUGCCGGGAAUACUGCAUAGCUAGGGAGUGGGAGAGGUAGACGGUACUCGGUAGGAAGGGGUAAAAUCCUUUGAUCUAUUGAUGACCACCUGUGGCGAAGGCGGUCUACCAGAACACGUCCGACGGUGAGGGAUGAAAGCUGGGGGAGCAAACCGGAUUAGAUACCCCAGUAGUC
Molecule: ribosomal RNA, 422 nt
Filed under: uncultured archaeon
Lineage: Archaea
Description: partial 16S ribosomal RNA
Rfam family: Archaeal small subunit ribosomal RNA
Source: RNAcentral